This is a non-coding RNA of Myotis davidii, 62 nucleotides long. The record is from Rfam. NCBI's taxonomy places the organism in Eukaryota, Metazoa, Chordata, Mammalia, Chiroptera, Vespertilionidae.
UCCGGGUGAAGCACCCCGGAAUCAGGCUCCCUCUUCUCUGAUACUGGGGUGCAUCACCUGGA